AACCAACACAUCACCUGGCUGUGGUAUAAAAAUGGUGCUGUGAGGGGGAGCCUGGGUGUACCAGCUAGCUCUGCUCCUGGCCACCUCAUCCCUUCCAGUCUGAGAAGAUGUGCUUGGAUCAAAUCCAGAGACCAAGAGGACUGAAACAUCUUAGUCAUGGCCUCAACAAUUUCAUGGAAAGGUACCAUGUCAUAUAUUCAACUGUCCCCACUGGAAAUAAGAGAGUUUGAAGAGGGAUCGGAUUUUAACAAAAAAGAUAGAAGGUAGACAUAUGGAAAAACUUCCUCAUGCGAUAUAAAACUUCAGAAUCAGCCUACUUCAGAGAUUUUUUUUUUCUGCCCGGGAUAGGUUUAAGUCUGUGCCUAUCCAAGGGGAAUUGAAAAAAACAAAAUUACUUUUCUGUGGCUUCCCCAGAUGUGGGCCUCAGUGCAAUUUGUUCAUUAGCUCUGGGAGUAUACCCCUUCUCGGUCCUUCUAAAUGUAGUAGCUGAUGGCUAGAUCACAAGUUUGGGAGGCAGGAAGCCUUGAGUUCCAGUACCAGGUCUGCCAUUAACCAACUGUGCUACCUUGGUAAGUCCGUUAACCUCCCUGAGCCCUAGUUUCCUUGUCUGUAAAAUUCAGAUAAACAACCUCUUAAGGUUGUGGAGAGCAUUUAGUGAAGUGGUGUGGAAAGCACCUAGGACACUGCCUGAUACUCAGUAGGUGCUCAGUGGUUGAUACA
RNAcentral lists this long non-coding RNA (720 nucleotides) under Ursus maritimus (polar bear). RNAcentral describes it as "lncRNA (ENSUMAG00000017338.1)". The record is from RNAcentral. Lineage: Eukaryota; Metazoa; Chordata; Mammalia; Carnivora; Ursidae.